GGGUUCUUACCACAGGCUGUUCUUACACUGACUGUACAGAAAAAGGAGGCAGAGUAAAUCCACCCAUAUAUAGCCCAGGCCCUUUGCCGGUAUUGUGAAUAGGGGGACAUGA
Molecule: small nucleolar RNA, 112 nt
Organism: Zalophus californianus (California sea lion)
Lineage: Eukaryota; Metazoa; Chordata; Mammalia; Carnivora; Otariidae
Product: small nucleolar RNA SNORA51
Source: Ensembl